Molecule: long non-coding RNA, 1240 nt
Organism: Astatotilapia calliptera (eastern happy)
Lineage: Eukaryota; Metazoa; Chordata; Actinopteri; Cichliformes; Cichlidae
Source: Ensembl
CAGGUAAAUAUGCAGCUAAUGGUAUAAAAACGUUUUAAACCCAUUAAACCCUGCCACUUUGUGUCAGUCCUGCUAUUCAACUUUUUCCCCCCCCCACAUUUAUACUUUACAAAACCAUAAUUAAAUAUGGCUAAGUCAUUGUUGGGAUGGGAUACCUUUCAGCGGUUCCCUAUGGGCUUUUCAGGGAUUAUGUGGGUGCAGUGUUGGUCUUGGUACAGGUUUUCAAAAUGGACAAAAAUCCACCGGUUGCAGCAAAUGAGGCGUUUCUCCAUUCUAAAGAAACCCUUGUGGGUUUGCCGGGAUAAUAAACUCUCUUGUUCUGGACUCAGUGGGGGUUGUAGUUCCCAAAGGCACUCAAGCGGGGUCGCUAAUGGUCUUCUCAUCGCUCCAGCUCAGUGACCCCGUGAGAGGCUGCCUCAUGUGGUCCAGGGCCUCCCAAACUUGACACCCAGGCCUCCCAUUGCGCAGGACAAUAGACCACAGCGCUGGCAGUCAGAUUUUUUUUUUAUUUGGUCAAUUUAAAGAUGUUUUUUCUUUUUUUAAACUUGUGAUUAUGUCCUAAAUCUGACUUUAUCUUGACAUGUUGAUUACGGAGAGCAUUUUAUUUUCUUUAUAAGUUCAAGUGCUUUAAGUUGAGUUUCCAGGGAAGCCCCCCUACACACAUACACACACACACACCUCACUUUUCAGUAGCCUACUAUGAAGGAAAACUAGGGCACACUAUGAAAGGCUGUAUUACAGCUGACCCUUCCGAAUGUCCUCAUUCUGUAGUCUCCUCAUUUCGCCUCCUUAAAUUGUACCUGCCCUCCAUCUACAAUACUACAAGGAGUGGAGAGCAGAUAACUUGUAAACAGUGCUUUGGCACAGGGAUUAUUGCCCAAAGUUAAGGAUGGAGAAUGACCAUAUAGGGUCCUAAUCAAUAAAUAUAGAGAUAGACUAAGGAGGCUAGAGGAGGAUCAGAGAGGGAUAUGGAGGAAGAUAACUGCUUGAGACCACCAAUGCUUAGCAAUCAGGCCGAACAUGACAGCUUGUAGACCCAACCAAUUAUUUACCCCAGCCAAAUCAAUAGAGCUCUCUCCGAAAGAUAGCCAUCAGCACCACUAUCUGGAACACAUUCGCAGCAGAAAGUACAAGCACACACUGAGCACUCUGCUCGCUGCCACUCUCGCUCUCUGUCUCUUUUGAAAACGCACACACGCACUUCCCUCAGAGACACUUAGUUAUCAGGCUUCCUUAGAAA